UUUUCAUCAAUGUUCGUCUCUUUUAACAUUUUACAAGAAUCUUUCAUUUUCAAAACCAAAAUCAAAUAAAACUCUAGGAAACCAAUCAGUACAAUUUUAAUUGGGUAAUCCAGUUACUGAUUUUUUCUUUCUACAAUGUGAUAAACAGUUAAACACACCCGUUCUUGUUAUGGAUUUGGACCCUCGAGUCUUUGCCUCUCUGUGUACUGCUUAGUUCACUUCCUAUCGGUAUUUGAUUUACUAGUUCAGAGAGGUGUGACGUAUCCCUGACUCAUGUACAUCCAAUUAGAGUUUGCAUUACUUUGCUAGUGGUUUGCCUUGAUGCCUUCACAAAAAUCAGUAAGAUUGAUAAGUUGAGGGACAACAUGUUACUUUGGAGGAAACUUCUAAUAAGAUUGGUAUCAGGAUCAAGAUGGUCAACAAUCACUUCACUUUCCUGGUGUCUCAUGUAUGGCUCAUUGCUUAAGUGAAAAAUCGUUAAGUUGAAAAAAGAAAUAUGCAUAAGACAGCUUCAACUCAUCAUGAGUGGAUCCUCAAGUGUAUGGAAAUAGGAAUGCAGUAGUUUCUUUGCACUCUUUUCUUGUAGGAAUGUCUUUCUUC
RNAcentral lists this long non-coding RNA (600 nucleotides) under Medicago truncatula (barrel medic). RNAcentral's name for it is "lncRNA gene15534". Lineage: Eukaryota; Viridiplantae; Streptophyta; Magnoliopsida; Fabales; Fabaceae. The record is from RNAcentral.